Streptococcus pneumoniae R6 is the source of this 109-nucleotide small RNA. It matches the Rfam family "Streptococcus sRNA SpF03". The record is from Rfam. Lineage: Bacteria; Bacillati; Bacillota; Bacilli; Lactobacillales; Streptococcaceae.
AUUGCUCGAAUUUAUAGGACUUUUUUCUAUAAAGAAUAGUUUGGACUUGAAAUGUAUUUAAAAACAAGAGGUUGGUAGAUUAUCAGCCUCUUUCUUGUCGUUGAAAAAG